Molecule: long non-coding RNA, 447 nt
Filed under: Physcomitrium patens
Lineage: Eukaryota; Viridiplantae; Streptophyta; Bryopsida; Funariales; Funariaceae
Description: long non-coding RNA (PPAT_LNC013066)
Source: RNAcentral
AAAUCCUAAUGGAUCUUAAUUAAAUCCUAGAUCAAAUCCUAACUAAAAUCUAAAUCAAAUUUUAGAUAUAUCUUAAAUCUUAAAUCAAAUCCUUAACAAAUCUAAAAUCCUAAAUCAAAUUGUAGACAAAUACUACACAAAUUCUAAAUUCUAAAUCAAACCUUAAAAAAAUCCUAAAUAUUAAAUCAAAUCCUAUUAAAAUCCUAAAUCCUAAAUCAAAUUCUAAAUAAAUCUUAAAACUCUAAAUCAAAUUCUAUAAAAAUCCUAAAUCCUAAAUAAAAUUGUAGACAAAUCCUAAAUCCUAAAUCAAAUCCUAAAUAAAUUUUAAAUUCUAAAUUAAACUCUAAAUAAAUAUUAAAUCCUAAAAUAAACUCUAAAUAAAACCUAAACUCUAAAUUCAACCCUAAUCAAAACCUAAUCAACUCAAAUCAAUCCUAAAGAAGAUUA